This 672-nucleotide ribosomal RNA is filed under the name Triticum aestivum (bread wheat). RNAcentral describes it as "partial small subunit ribosomal RNA". The record is from RNAcentral. Lineage: Eukaryota; Viridiplantae; Streptophyta; Magnoliopsida; Poales; Poaceae.
AUGGCCACCAAGCUGCUCGCGCUCGCCGCGUCCGCGGCCGUGCUGCUGGCCCUGGCCUUGCCGGCGCCGGCGUCGGGGCAGGCCGCGCCGGCGGCGCCGUCGUGCACGGCGUCGCUCGUCUCCAGCUUCACGCCGUGCCUCAGCUACAUCACCAACGGCAACAGCUCGUCGCCGACGGUGGGCUGCUGCCGGUCCCUGUCGGCACUGGUGAACGCCAGCACGGGCUGCGCGUGCCUCCUCCUCACCGGCAGCGUGCCGCUCGGCGGCGUCCCGAUCAACCGGACGCUCGCCGUCACCCUGCCCAGGGCAUGCAACUCCAUGGCCGUCCCGCUUCAAUGCAAAGAUGCGUCGGCGCAGCUCCCGGCUCCGGCUCCGGGCCCCGUCGCGGCCUCGGCCUCUCCCGCCAUGCCCCCGCUGCGUAAGAAACUCAACUCGCCCCACCAACUUUCUCUUCUUAUGUCGCUGUUGAUUGCCACUGAUGAUUCUGUCAAAUUUGCAGCCCCGGUGGCGCCCGAGUCGCCGCCGGCGGGAACCACCGUGGCGGUGCCACCAACGAGCCAGAGCCAGGGGCAGACGAGGCCGCAGGUGGCGCCCAGCUCUGCCUGGAGAGACGGUGCUCAUGUGCCUGAGUUGUUCGCAGUGAUCCUCGCAGUUGGAGCCAUGCUGGUUUGA